GAUGGUAUAGCUCAGGGGUAGAGUGUGUGCUUAGCAUGCAGGAGGUACUGGGUUCAAUCCCCAGUACCUCUG
Molecule: transfer RNA, 72 nt
Filed under: Camelus bactrianus (Bactrian camel)
Lineage: Eukaryota; Metazoa; Chordata; Mammalia; Artiodactyla; Camelidae
Also listed under: 2 other names
Rfam family: tRNA
About the family: Transfer RNA (tRNA) molecules are approximately 80 nucleotides in length. Their secondary structure includes four short double-helical elements and three loops (D, anti-codon, and T loops).
Source: Rfam by way of RNAcentral